UCUCUCUCCUUUUCUCUCUCUAAAUUCUCUCUUUAUUUUCUCUCUCUAUACCAUUUUAUCUCUUUUUAUGGAUUUUAUCUCUCUAGGGUCAUUCUCUCUCUCUGAUUGCAUCACAGACCUUAGGAUAAACUUGAGAUGAAAAUAUGAUGAUCUGAGACUGUUUCAAAAUUCGUGCAGUAGAUUGGAUCCCGAUCCGAUCCUUAUUCGAAAUUGAUAACAUCAAUCAUGGUUAAUUCAUAUUAAGUCACCCUGAUAUGAUACAUGAUUGUUAUUUUUGAAGAAUACGAAGAUUCUCUCUCCACUUUCUCUCUCUACUUUCUCUCUCAUGAUUGACUUUCUCUUUCUAAGAAGGUCUAUGAAUCUUGUAUCGAGUCAUACCUUCAUCUUUUAGGGGCUCAUAUUGACUCUAACAAGAUGAUCCAAAGUUGUUUUGAUAUCCAUGCUGUAUGUCAACCUCAUUUGAUCAUAUCAAGGAUCUUUCAAAUUCAUUAUUAAUGAACUCUAUUGAUUGAUCUCGAUCUAAUCUGUGCUUCACAAUUUCUUGAUCAAGUCACUUGAAUCUGACCCUCAGAUCAGAAAUCUUGAAUUGCCCUGGUAUCUGGAUGGUCCGACACAUCCGNNNNNNNNNNNNNNNNNNNNUCAUGAAAACUUAUGUUUGAUCCGAUAAGAAAGUACAAGUUUUACUUACUGGACUAGUGUAGCUCAUAUUCUUUUUGUUUUCUUUUUGUUUGAACAGAAGAAUAAGGUUAGGAUCGGCAAAAAGAAUUCUGGCUUGAAGAUCUACAUAACAAGCUUGAAAAUUUGAUAGCAGAAGUUUAGUUAUUUUAUAAUCAUGGAUUUGUAGUUAUUUAUAAAUAUUGAGAUUCAGAUUGGUACUUGCUUUUGGAUUUAGAUGCUCUGAACCAAUAUUAGUUCGAUUAUUUGAAGAAUAAUGGAAUUGAAUCUUUUUUUUUGAUGAAUUUUAGAUGAUUAUGAUGGAUUGGCUUCGUGUUAUCGUGGGCUCCAUCCCUCGAUAGCAUGGCCGUGUUAUGUCCCAGAUUUGGGGUGUGAUAUUUUAUGGUAUCAGAGCUUAUGUUAUAAUCAUUGGAGAUUAUGAUAUAAAUGAUUAGGAUAUGAUAGAAUAAUAUCAGAGCUUAGGUUUAAGAUCAUUGAGAUUAUAAAGUGAUAUCAAAACUUUAUGUAUGAUCAAUAGGAUGUGACCGAGUGGAGUAUAAUGGAUAAUAUCAGAGCUUAAGAUUAUGAUCAUUAAGGACGUGAUAGAAUGAUAUAAAGUUAGGUUAUGAUCACUAGAGAAUAUGACUUAAGUGGUAUUUGAACUUAAGGUUAUCAUUAUUCGGGAUUGUGACUUUAGUGAUAUUUGAACUUGAGGUUAAGAUCAUGAGGAACAUGAUAGAUAUAAAAGAAAGGAUUCAAUAAUUUGAUUUCGAAUCAAUAGGUAUUAUGAUGAAAUUUAUGCAUAAGUGGCAUAUGAUGUCUAUAAUAGAAUUGACGAGUUAUAUCUUAGAUUUCAAUUAGCAAAGUUGACCUGAGUACGAGAAGUGUCGAUCCUAGAAUGAAGUGGGAGGUAUCGAUAUAUUAUGUUAGGUAUAUUUGAUGACAUUAGAAUGCUAAACCUAUAUGGAUAAAGGACAUGAUAACUUUACUGAUUUUGAUGUUAAUUUUUUUGCAAAGAAAAGUUGGUUUGAAAGUUGUCUAAAUGAUUGUAAGGUAAAUCGAAGGUUAACUCAAAUUAAUUCUAGAUAUAUUGGAUUCUUGAGGAGUGGUGAAGUUUAUGUAAUAAGUUCAAACAUUGAAGGUGGAUGAAGAUUUAAUUUUGAUGUGCUAUGCCUAAGAGAUAGUAAUGACAAGAAAAUCUUAAAUUUUAUCCUAAAUUGUAUAUGAAAUCUAAAAGUUGGAUCUAUUUUUGAUUGAUUUAAUAUACAAAGAUAUUUUUAUUUUUGAUAGACUUAGAUAAUUUGGUAAGUUAAGAUCAGAGUGCGCAGCAAAAACGUGAUGGUCUGAAUUGAUUAGAAAUAUUAAUCCUUUAAAUCAAAAGAUAUUAUGAAAUACAUUAGUUAUAAAUAAGGAAGGAUUUUACUGAUAAUAAAUGGAUGCUAGAGAGAAAAACUAUCUAAUUAAGGAAAGACUCAAAGCAGCACAGGAUAGACAGAAGAAUUGGACAGAUAGAAAAAGAAGAGAAUUAGAAUUUCACUUCGGUGAUCAUAUUUUUUUAAAAGUAUCAUCUCCAAAAAGUGUCAUGAGGUUUGGAAGACAUGGCAAGCUGAGUCCGUGAUAUAUUAGACCUUUUGAAAUUUUGAGCCGAGUAGGAGAUGUUGCUUACGAACUCUCCUUACCAUUGGAUUUAUCUAAAGUGCAUAAUAUCUUUCAUGCUUCACUACUGAGAAAGUUUAUACCUGAUUUAAAUAAUGUGAUAAAGUAUGAGCCAUUGUAAGUUCAUGAAGAUUUAACUUAUGAAGAAUUUUUCUUCCGAAUUAUUGAUCGAAAAGAACAAGUUCUAAGACGGUGUAUCAUUCCAUAUGUGAAAAUUCAUUGGAGUAAUCAGGAAGAGAGAGAGGCCACAUGGGAGCUUGAAGAUGAUAUGAAGACGAGAUAUUCACACUUAUUUGAAAAUGAAGGUAUGUUAAAUUUCGAGGAUGAAUUUUUUUUUAAAGGGGGUAGAAUAUGAUAAUCUGGCCCAAUUGGGCCCAAAACCAGCCCACAAAGCCCAAACGAAAAAAAAAAGGAGAACAGAGGAGAAGACUCCUAAAGGCAGUCUUCUUCCUCCUCUCACUGACUCCCAAUCGGAAUCGGAAAGAGCCCCCUCCGGCUCUAUUUAAGGAGGAGAACCCUCCUCUCUCCCUCUCACCAAAGACCCGAGACUCAGUCGGCGGCAAUCGUCGAAAAACCAUCGUGGAGACCCGACCUGUGCCCGUCCAAUUUCUCGCCGGAAAGCCUCACUGGCGUCGAAGGUGAGUCUCCUCCUCCUUCCUCUCUUCUCCUCUUUCCUUCCCAUGUCGAUGUGCACGCUCGCCGGCGACCGGAGUCAUCGGAUUUUGUUGCGGAAGAAACCUCUAUUUUUGUCAUUUUUCUUCAAUUUUCCGACGCCGGUGGUCACCGCCGACCAUCGGUUUGGUCCCUCCGAGCCAUGGGAUCAUCGUCCCUUGUCGUCGGCCACAGCCAUGAUGGCUGCAGCCCUUGGUCGGCCGAGCAAAGGAGGGGACCAUAUGGUCCCCUGUUUUAGCCCAAGACAACCGUGGGAAGAAAAAAAGAAAAAGAAGAAGAAGGAAAAAGAAAAAGAAAAGAAGAAGAAGAAGGAAAGAAAAAAAGAAAAAGAAAAAGAAAAAAAAGGAAAAGAAAAAGAAGAAAAAAAAAAAAAUAAAAAUAAAAAAUUUAUUAUAUAAAAUAAUAAGACUCUCUCUCCUCUCUACAUUCUCUCUCCAUUUUCUCUCUCUAGAUUCUCUCUUUAUUUUCUCUCUCUAGAUCAUUUAAUCUCUUUUUAUGGUUUUUGUCUCUCUAGGAUCAUUCUCUCUCUCUGAUUGCAUCACAGAUCCUAGGAUAAACUUGAGAUGAAAAUAUGAUGAUCUGAGAUCGUUCCGAAAUUCGUGCAGUAGAUUGGAUCCCGAUCCGAUCCUUAUUCGAAAUUGAUAACAUCAAUCAUGGUUAAUUCAUAUUAAGUCACCCUGAUAUGACCUCUGAUGAUCUCAAUCAUGAUUGUCACUUUUGAAGAAUACGAAGAUUCUCUCUCCACUUUCUCUCUCUAUUUUCUCUCUCAUGAUUGACUUUCUCUCUCUAAGAAGGUCUAUGAAUCUUGUACCGAGUCAUGCCUUCAUCUUUUAGGGGCUCAUAUUGACUCUAACAAGAUGAUCCAAAGUUGUUUUGAUAUCCGUGCUGUAUGUCAACCUCAUUUGAUCAUAUCAAGGAUCUUUCAAAUUCAUUAUUAAUGAACUCUAUUGAUUGAUCUCGAUCUAAUCUGUGCUUCACAAUUUCUUGAUCAAGUCACUUGAAUCUGACCCUCAUAUCAGAAAUCCUGAAUUGCCCUGGUAUCUGGAUGGUCCGACACAUCCGGUCAACAGUCUUCUUUCCUUAUGAUUUAAUUUUGUUAUAGUUAUGGAAUAGAAUUUGAUAAUGAUUUGAUAUUUUAAAUAGGAUUAGCUGAUUCUUCUAACGAAGUCUGAAGAUCUAAGAUGAACGAGGUAAGUAGAUCUUAUGCACCUUAAUUAUUUUUAAAUGAUCAUGUUUUUAUGCAAAGAAUUGCUAUUGAUGAAAUUAUAAUUUUUUAUAAAAUAAGGAUCGACAUAUGUGAUAUGAAAAAGCAUGUUUUAUUAUGAGCAUUNNNNNNNNNNNNNNNNNNNNUAUGUAUACUUUAAGAAAAAGAUAUAAUGAUUUCAAAAGCUCUCAGAUAGCUAUGAAUGAAUUCCUUCGGGAAGGUCGACAUCCAGAGCUAGC
RNAcentral lists this long non-coding RNA (4425 nucleotides) under Elaeis guineensis (African oil palm). RNAcentral describes it as "long non-coding RNA (EGUI_LNC000990)". Lineage: Eukaryota; Viridiplantae; Streptophyta; Magnoliopsida; Arecales; Arecaceae. The record is from RNAcentral.